AAAAAUGUUCAAAGAUAUUAUCAUCAUCAUCAUCAUCAAUCAUCAUGGAAAACAAAAAUGUAUCUACAAACUUUGGUAGCUACUAAAUGAUGAUGACCAGUAGUAGUGUCAGUGGUGAUGAUGUGACGAAAAAAAAAAUUGGCCAUAUGCAAAUUUCGAAAAGGAAAGAAAGAUAAAAUUCUCAUGAUAACAAUGUCUCGAUAUUUACGAUUCUGACUGGCUGAUUUUACUUUUACUAACGAAAAAUCGUGCCGAUAAAAAAAAUGUAUUCAACUACAACAUAUAUAUAAAUAUAUUAAAUUAACAAACAAAAGAACCUGAUGAAUAGGUGAAUGAAAAACCUGAA
Molecule: non-coding RNA, 346 nt
Organism: Dermatophagoides farinae (American house dust mite)
Lineage: Eukaryota; Metazoa; Arthropoda; Arachnida; Sarcoptiformes; Pyroglyphidae
Source: RefSeq, a predicted model, not a curated record